RNAcentral lists this ribosomal RNA (253 nucleotides) under uncultured bacterium. RNAcentral describes it as "partial 16S ribosomal RNA". It matches the Rfam family "Bacterial small subunit ribosomal RNA", at positions 524 to 776 of the family's 1533-position model. The record is from RNAcentral.
UACGAAGGGGGCUAGCGUUGCUCGGAAUUACUGGGCGUAAAGCGCACGUAGGCGGCUUUCCAAGUCGGGGGUGAAAUCCUGGAGCUCAACUCCAGAACUGCCUUCGAUACUGGAGAGCUCGAGUCCGGGAGAGGUGAGUGGAACUGCGAGUGUAGAGGUGAAAUUCGUAGAUAUUCGCAAGAACACCAGUGGCGAAGGCGGCUCACUGGCCCGGUACUGACGCUGAGGCACGAAAGCGUGGGGAGCAAACAGG